Molecule: signal recognition particle RNA, 194 nt
Filed under: Lachnospiraceae bacterium
Lineage: Bacteria; Bacillati; Bacillota; Clostridia; Lachnospirales; Lachnospiraceae
Description: partial signal recognition particle sRNA large type
Rfam family: Bacterial large signal recognition particle RNA
About the family: The signal recognition particle (SRP) is a universally conserved ribonucleoprotein involved in the co-translational targeting of proteins to membranes.
Source: RNAcentral
UCGGAUUAUAAGUGUGAAGCUGCCCUUUUCAAGUGGUGUUGACGUCUGGGUCUUACGCAACGAAAAUCUACGAAUCGUGUCAGGUUGGGAACAAAGCAGCACUAAGAAGAAUCUUUUGUGUGCCGUAGGGGUGCCUGGACCGAGCAAACUAAAAAGGUAACGUUCAUGUGAUGACUUCAAAGCAGAAUGCACGG